This 358-nucleotide unclassified non-coding RNA is filed under the name soil metagenome. RNAcentral describes it as "partial contains 5.8S ribosomal RNA, internal transcribed spacer 2, and large subunit ribosomal RNA". The stretch from base 1 to 120 matches the Rfam family "5.8S ribosomal RNA", at positions 35 to 154 of the family's 154-position model. The record is from RNAcentral.
GAUGAAGAACGCAGCGAAAUGCGAUAAGUAAUGUGAAUUGCAGAAUUCAGUGAAUCAUCGAAUCUUUGAACGCACAUUGCGCCCGUCAGUAUUCUGGCGGGCAUGCCUGUUCGAGCGUCAUUACGCCCCUCAAGUCCCCUGUGGACUUGGUGUUGGGGAUCGGCGAGGCUGGUUUUCCAGCACAGCCGUCCCUUAAAUUAAUUGGCGGUCUCGCCGUGGCCCUCCUCUGCGCAGUAGUAAAACACUCGCAACUGGAGCCCGGCGCGGUCCACUGCCGUAAAACCCCCCAACUUUUUAUAGUUGACCUCGAAUCAGGUAGGACUACCCGCUGAACUUAAGCAUAUCAAUAAGCGGAGGA